Molecule: ribosomal RNA, 473 nt
Filed under: uncultured bacterium
Lineage: Bacteria
Description: bacterial SSU rRNA
Rfam family: Bacterial small subunit ribosomal RNA
Source: RNAcentral
GAUGAACGCUAGCGGCAGGCUUAACACAUGACACGGAGAUUCGUCGAAGUGUUGAUGGCGACCGGCGCAAGGGUGCGUAACGCGUGAGCAACUUGCCCGUUUCUGGGGAAUAACCGGUGGAAACGCCGACUAAUACCCCAUAGUAUAACGAAGAGGCAUCUUUUUGUUAUUAAAGAGUUUCGGAAACGGAUAGGCUCGCGUGACAUUAGCUAGACGGCGGGGUAACGGCCCACCGUGGCGACGAUGUCUAGGGGUUCUGAGAGGAAGGUCCCCCACACUGGAACUGAGACACGGUCCAGACUCCUACGGGAGGCAGCAGUGAGGAAUAUUGGUCAAUGGUCUGACGACUGAACCAGCCAUGCCGCGUGAAGGUCACGGCCCUAUGGGUCUUAAACUUCUUUUGCAAGGGAGCAAUAAGCCUCACGUGUGGGGCGAUGAGAGUACCUUGCGAAUAAGCAUCGGCUAACUCCGUG